Molecule: long non-coding RNA, 1589 nt
Filed under: Homo sapiens (human)
Lineage: Eukaryota; Metazoa; Chordata; Mammalia; Primates; Hominidae
Description: non-protein coding lnc-KLHL32-4:37
Source: RNAcentral
AAAGAAGAUCCGGGAGUGUGGCUGGUAAUGCAGUAUUCAUUUAAUUGGGAGCAGGUACCGGUGCAAACUUCUCCAUUUUAAUUGGAAAAAGGGAAGGGGAUUGUUAAGGACGAAGGAAAAAAGAAUGCAUAAAGUUUCCAAGCCGAGGAGCCAAAGGCAGCCCUGUCUAUGCCAGAGAAAGAACUCAAUUUAGGGCAAUUUGCUCUGCAAGCUGGGCUGCAGCCUCCCCUGGGAAUAGGGAUGAGGAAGAAAAUGAAACCAAAAGAGAACUUGAUAAAAUCACCUAGCACAGACAAUCUCGGUAGAAUAGGUUUUACUGAGUUAAAUCUGCCCCAAUCAAUAUGAUUCUUUUCAUAUAAGUUACAAAUAAAAAGCCACAAGAUUACAAUAAAAAUCGAGACUCGAGCGCUGCUGAUGUUGCACCUGGGAGUCUUAAGAACUUGUUAUGGAAUAUAUGUUUUUGCAACUAUAAUGUUUGUUUUUCCUUUCACCCUGGUCAUGUGAAUCAACUGUUUGCUUUCCUUCUCUAUCCAUUUAGUUUUAUAUAUUGUUUUUAAAACCCAACAGAGGCAACUCUUUCUGCUUAAUUUCUCUUACACUAGAGGUUGGGGAUCGGUGGUUUCAUUUUGUUUUCCAAUGUGUUGAAUCUAACGUAGUUCUGAUUUCUCAUACUAAUAAUAAAUGAAGAGAUUUCUUCUUAUUGUAUAUUUUUGUGAUGUAAGGAAUUAUAAAUGUUAAUGUAUGAGUAAAGGAAUAAAAGGGAGGCAAGACUUCAUGUAAGAAGGGAAAGAAAUGCUUUUGAGGCAUAUAAGAAACUAUUAAAAUAGAACAUCUUAUAGUUUAUAUGUAAUAAUUAUUAAUAAUCUUUGACUGUGCUGGAGAAAUAUGAAUUUUGAGCAGCCGAUGGUUUCAAUGUGAUAAUUUUUUUUUAUCCUUAGUGAAUAAGGAGGCAAAAGACUGGAAAAAAAAAUUUAGUCUUUCUUCCAGUGUGGUUGACUAAUCAACAAAGAACUUGGAGACAGAUACUUUAUUUUAGUACAUAAAAGUACGUCUUAAAGAUUAAUAUAAAGGACUUAGAUCUCAAGUUUCCUGGCACUUUUGUUUUGUUAUUAAAUUUCUUUAAAAUAAUGCAUAAUGGAAAAUAAAAGGAUCAUGGUGCCUUGUUGUGGUAGAUCUCACUUUCAGUCUGGUUGGUUAUACAUUCACUGUUUGUAAACCUAAAAGAAGAGUUGACUAUGAACAUUUUAUCCUUUGAUGAUUAUCACUGUGGGUUGGCGAAAUUUUUGCUAAUAUGUGCUAGCAGACUGUGGAUUGAUUAUUUGACUUUAUCUCAGUUACUAGGAAGUUCGGAUUAGAACUGAAAAGAGACUUUUCUGGAUAGAGAAAAAAGAGUAACAUUUCAAAAUGUGAUGAGAUGUUACUCCAAAUAUUCCUUCUCAUUUUUCUUGAUACCAUGCUAAAUAAAUGAGUCAAUUUAUCCAUCAAAAAUAUUUAUAGAGGACUUCUCCAUGUUAAGCACUGUAGAAAAUGCAAAGAUGAGAAUAACAUAGAACUUGUCAUCAAGAAACUUACUUUAUAAAUGGGAAGGC